RNAcentral lists this non-coding RNA (23 nucleotides) under Cricetulus griseus (Chinese hamster). The record is from RNAcentral. Lineage: Eukaryota; Metazoa; Chordata; Mammalia; Rodentia; Cricetidae.
CUUUAUAAAAGGGCUUUUGUAAC